This is a non-coding RNA of Strongyloides stercoralis, 72 nucleotides long. NCBI's taxonomy places the organism in Eukaryota, Metazoa, Nematoda, Chromadorea, Rhabditida, Strongyloididae. The record is from Rfam.
UCUCUGGUAGUAUAGUGGUGAGUAUCCGCGCCUGUCACGUGCGAGACCGGGGUUCGAUUCCCCGCCAGAGAG